This is a long non-coding RNA of Aedes aegypti (yellow fever mosquito), 1032 nucleotides long. RefSeq lists it as uncharacterized. The transcript has 2 exons. The record is from RefSeq and is a predicted model, not a curated record. NCBI's taxonomy places the organism in Eukaryota, Metazoa, Arthropoda, Insecta, Diptera, Culicidae.
GAGAUUUAAUCUGGAUUUUCUAAAAUCCAGGAUUAAAUUUAGUACCCCGUUUGGUAAGCACCAAAGUCGGUAUUAACGUUAAAGCAUGCAGCCACUUUUGACAUCACGCAAAAAUGCAUGAAUGUGUGCGUGUGAGAAUGCCUACGUAUAAGGAAUGAUGUUUUCUACCUUCUUUGUUUUGAUGCAAGACCUUCGUAAACAAGCUCCGUUGGGGAACAAAAUAAAAAGUUCAUAACAGUUUGGAUUUUGAAGGCAGGAAAACAGGAAAAUAUUUCGCUGCAAGAAUCUAUCCACAGAAAAGAAACGAUCGGACAAGUCUAACCCCCAGAGGAAUCCGUCAAUUCCUGCACUAUCAGAUGUACCAUUCUACGCAUCAACCAAAACCGGACACAGGUACCGAGCCAUUUGUGACAUACCAAUAUACGAUACCAUGUUUUCUCCAACUGGAGAACUCUUCGAAGUUCUUCAAGUAACCUGAGGAUUCAGCGGAAUCUUGGUCGCUCAUCAAAUUGACAUCACAUCAGGACUUAUUCGCAAGCAUAAUGAAAUGGACUUCAUGUCUUGUUCGGAAGCGCUUAUUUUUGAAGUAGAUCGAAUAAUUAUAGUCCUUGGCCAGGCUUGGAAUUGGAAUCAAAGGUGGUCCUAUAACCUGAACCGGAAUGGAAUGCUUCAAGUUCUUCAACAAGAAUGCGGCAAUCAAUCUGGAUCGAUGGGAUAGUAGGUAUGUCCAACAGAAAAGCUUUUGAUGCUGAUGCGCAUCAACGUCAUGCCAGUGGUAUUAUUCAUUACCAUGUUACCAACCUCCUGGCCGUCGUGAGGGUCACGACGUGCCCCUGCAAAUAGAAGUUUCCGAAAGCUAGCAUCAUUUUGACCACAAACAGCUCAAACUGGAAAUUAAUUAGAAAUGGAAACCAAGAAAUGGAAACAUUAUAAAUUAUAAAUCCAGGAAUCAUUUUUUAGGUAUAUCAUCAUUAUUUUCACUUUAGUUGUUAGGUAUAUCAUGAAAUAGAAAGAAAAUUUUUCAAAUACGCA